UAUGCAUAUGUGCGCAUGAACAUUGUGAAUUGUAACGAUAUAGAGAAGAUUAGUAUGGAUCAUGCACAAAGAUGACGCUCGUAUAAAUUAGUGGAUGUUUAGUUCA
Morus notabilis is the source of this 106-nucleotide non-coding RNA. Lineage: Eukaryota; Viridiplantae; Streptophyta; Magnoliopsida; Rosales; Moraceae. The record is from Rfam.